This 292-nucleotide ribosomal RNA is filed under the name uncultured bacterium. Its description in RNAcentral is "partial 16S ribosomal RNA". It matches the Rfam family "Bacterial small subunit ribosomal RNA", at positions 505 to 796 of the family's 1533-position model. The record is from RNAcentral.
GUGUCAGCAGCCGCGGUAAGACGAACCGUGCGAACGUUGUCCGGAAUCACUGGGCUUAAAGGGCGCGUAGGCGGGCUCACAAGUCCGGGGUGAAAGCCCCCAGCUCAACUGGGGAAGCGCCUUGGAUACUGUGGGCCUCGAGGGAGGUAGGGGCGUGCGGAACUUCCGGUGGAGCGGUGAAAUGCGUAGAUAUCGGAAGGAACACCGGUGGCGAAAGCGGCGCGCUGGACCUCUUCUGACGCUGAGGCGCGAAAGCCAGGGGAGCAAACGGGAUUAGAUACCCCAGUAGUCC